RNAcentral lists this ribosomal RNA (490 nucleotides) under Sancus acoreensis. RNAcentral describes it as "partial 16S ribosomal RNA". The stretch from base 1 to 289 matches the Rfam family "Bacterial large subunit ribosomal RNA", at positions 2088 to 2642 of the family's 2925-position model. The record is from RNAcentral. Lineage: Eukaryota; Metazoa; Arthropoda; Arachnida; Araneae; Tetragnathidae.
ACCCUAUCAAACUUUACUUUAGUUUAACUGGGGCAGUUAAUUAAUAAAAAUUUUAAUAAAGAUUAAGUACUAAAUAGANNNCCCAACANUAGUUGAUUACANUGAACAAGUUACUGUAGGGAUAACAGCGUAAUAUAUAUCUAAAGUUCUUAUUUUGAUAUAAGUUUGCGACCUCGAUGUUGAAUUNAUAUUACUUUCAAGCGCAAGAGCCUGAAAAGUGGGUCUGUUCGACCCCUAAAUAUAUACAUGAUUUGAGUUCAAAUCGGUGUAAACCAGAUUGGUUUCUAUCUAUUNUUAUUUGUGUCUUAGUACGAAAGGACCUGAAACAAUAUUAUAUAAUNAUUUAUAUGGCAGAAAAAUGCUUUAGAUUUAGGAUCUAAUUAUAAUAGAUUAUUAUACUCUAUUUAACUUGCCUAAUCUCUGUUAUUAGAAUCCUUAUCGCAGUAGCUUUUUAUACCCUCCUAGAGCGAAAAAUUCUAAGCUACAUCCA